GAUGAACGCUGGCGGCGCGCCUAACACAUGCAAGUCGAACGAUUAAAGCACCUUCGGGUGUGUAUAAAGUGGCGAACGGCUGAGUAACACGUGGGCAACCUGCCCCUUUCAUUGGGAUAGCCACGGGAAACCGUGGAUAAUACCGAAUACUUCGAGACUUCCGCAUGGAAGACUCGAGAAAGCUCCGGCGGAGAGGGAUGGGCCCGCGGCCUGUUAGCUUGUUGGUGGGGUAACGGCCUACCAAGGCAAUGAUGGGUAGCUGGGUUGAGAGACCGACCAGCCAGAUUGGGACUGAGACACGGCCCAGACUCCUACGGGAGGCAGCAGUGGGGAAUCUUGCACAAUGGGCGAAAGCCUGAUGCAGCGACGCCGCGUGCGGGAUGAAGGCCUUCGGGUUGUAAACCGCUUUCAGCAGGGACGAGGCGAAAGUGUCGGUACCUGCAGAAGAAGCCCCGGCUAACUACGUG
RNAcentral lists this ribosomal RNA (467 nucleotides) under uncultured bacterium. RNAcentral describes it as "partial 16S ribosomal RNA". It matches the Rfam family "Bacterial small subunit ribosomal RNA", at positions 28 to 507 of the family's 1533-position model. The record is from RNAcentral.